Molecule: ribosomal RNA, 253 nt
Filed under: uncultured bacterium
Lineage: Bacteria
Description: partial 16S ribosomal RNA
Rfam family: Bacterial small subunit ribosomal RNA
Source: RNAcentral
UACGUAGGUGGCAAGCGUUAUCCGGAUUUAUUGGGUGUAAAGAGCGUGUAGGCGGGAGCGCAAGUCAGAUGUGAAAACUCAGGGCUCAACCCUGAGCCUGCAUUUGAAACUGUGUUUCUUGAGUGCUGGAGAGGCAAUCGGAAUUCCGUGUGUAGCGGUGAAAUGCGUAGAUAUACGGAGGAACACCAGUGGCGAAGGCGGAUUGCUGGACAGUAACUGACGCUGAGGCGCGAAAGCGUGGGGAGCAAACAGG